Molecule: transfer RNA, 79 nt
Filed under: Ictidomys tridecemlineatus (thirteen-lined ground squirrel)
Lineage: Eukaryota; Metazoa; Chordata; Mammalia; Rodentia; Sciuridae
Description: Spermophilus tridecemlineatus (thirteen-lined ground squirrel) tRNA
Rfam family: tRNA
About the family: Transfer RNA (tRNA) molecules are approximately 80 nucleotides in length. Their secondary structure includes four short double-helical elements and three loops (D, anti-codon, and T loops).
Source: Rfam by way of RNAcentral
GGGGAUAUAACUCAGUUGGUAGAGCACUUGUCUCACAUGUGCUUGCACAAAACCCUGGGUUCAAUCCCCAGUACCACCA